GGGGAUUUGGUCUAGUGGUAUGACAUCUGUUUUGCAUUGUCUCAAAUGAUAAUUACAGAAGGUCGGGGGUUCAAUUCCCUCAAUCUCCA
Mariannaea sp. PMI_226 is the source of this 89-nucleotide non-coding RNA. The record is from the annotation of a GenBank genome assembly. NCBI's taxonomy places the organism in Eukaryota, Fungi, Ascomycota, Sordariomycetes, Hypocreales, Nectriaceae.